CGGGUGCCUCCCCUGACGGAUCUCAUUGGGCAGAGCGCAGAGGCAGGUCUACCACUUGGAAAUUCAUGCCACCCUGAAUUAGUCCAUGCCCGGUGCACCAGAGGGUUACAGCCUUCCAGCAGGAAGAGGACUGUGCUGCAUACGCUUUUUAGAAUGGCGACUGAAAUUGCAUGUGCUCUGGAGCAUUGCGGGGGAGGAAGGGUGAGGAAUUAUCUGAUAGGGCAGGAGUAUAAUCAGAGAAGGAAUCAGGGCCUGGGGGUGGGGGGAUUGCAUUCAAAAUAACCUUGGCUGACUGAGGCUCAGAGUGGGAUGAGGCAGGAUGUCUCCAGCCUGGGUUUCUGUGACAGGCAGACAAGGACUCUACUGCAGUUGAAUGACAUGGAGAGAAACUCAAUGUUUCUUUUUCACCACGGGUGGACCUUGUGUUAUAAUUGUGGCUAAAGGAGACGGUAAACCAAGUGACUGGUUAGUUGGAGAGUGUAGAAUCAGUGGGCUUAUAGGAAGCAGAGCCCUGGCAGGAGGUGAGAAAAAUAGAGAGACUCUACCAUCUCUCAUUGGAGCAGAAAAUGGUAGAAUGGAACAUAUUUAUUAUUUGCUGCAUUAAAAUGUAAACUUUUGUUCUUCUCAUUCUUCAGUACAUAACCAAAAACGGAAAUAAACUAAAAAUCAAACACAGAAACAGGUGUUUACCGUGGAAUAAUCGAGAGAUC
Molecule: long non-coding RNA, 710 nt
Organism: Ailuropoda melanoleuca (giant panda)
Lineage: Eukaryota; Metazoa; Chordata; Mammalia; Carnivora; Ursidae
Exons: 3
Source: RefSeq, a predicted model, not a curated record